Molecule: ribosomal RNA, 216 nt
Filed under: uncultured bacterium
Lineage: Bacteria
Description: partial 16S ribosomal RNA
Rfam family: Bacterial small subunit ribosomal RNA
Source: RNAcentral
GCCCCAGUUCGGAUUGCAGGCUGCAACCCGCCUGCAUGAAGCCGGAAUCGCUAGUAGUCGCGGAUCAGAAUGCCGCGGUGAAUACGUUCCCGGGUCUUGUACACACCGCCCGUCACACCAUGGGAGCCGGGAAUGCCCGAAGUCAGUGGCCCAACCGAAAGGGGGGAGCUGCCGAAGGCAGGCCUGGUGACUGGGGUGAAGUCGUAACAAGGUACC